UCUUCUUCUCUCUUCUUCUCUGGUUUUCUUCUUCUCCUCUCUGUUGAUUUCAAUCUCAGAGAUUUGAGCAUCUUCUGUCGAGAAAUUCUUAUAGACCUUGAUAGCUUGAUGAACUGAGUGAGAAGAUGAUGCUGCUGCUGUCGAUUGAGUUCUGGAAAAGCAGAAUUUUGAUUCAAAGGAUGAACCAGUGGAUGGUGGAUAUCGAGGUAGGAAUGGCUUGUCAUCGAAACAGGUGGGAACUCUGUAACCUUCUUGUAAUCAUUAAGUUCCUUUUCAUAUGCGAACAUGAUGUGCCAUUGCUUCUUAUGAGCAUUGUGUGUAAAUGAUUGGGUAUGUUGUGUAAUAUGCAUUGUGUGGAUUCUCCAAAUGUUAUAUCUAUUUUUAUGCUUAUUAUAGCCCAGAUGAGGCAAUAUCGUUAUAUAGGGGAAUAUUACCUUUUGCAAUUUCUUGUGAGAAUCCAAUCGUUUGUAUAUUAUGCUUGAUUGCAAAACCUUCGGGACUUAUUAUGGUAGUUCUUGAAUCAUGGUUUGUAUGGGCACUCUGUGUGGAUGGCGCUAUCAUUCGAGUCUGGAGUUAUUCUGCUUUCGCUUUCUCCAAUGAGUUUGGCGAGGUCUGAGUGACAUAUUUUUGGCUUGUUCUAUUCUCACAUUUGUAGAUCAUUCGGUGGUGGUCUUUCACGGAUAUUGUCAUUAUGGUGCGCAAUAUAUGAGGAGGUAGGACUAGAAUGACCUUUCUUUCAUGAAUGUUAUAUUACGAUGCUUGCUGAUUGUUGAGUGAAUAAUUUGAUGUGUGUUUGUGUGAGUUCCCCGCGAUGAGUGACUGUGAUAUCCCCACAGCUCCUUGCUAAGUCUUAUAGCCCAGAUGAGGCAAUACAUAGCACGGGAAGUGCAUAUAAUAGCUAUCUAGUGCGUAAAGCGAAAUAGUAUUACUUUUUAUUUUAUAACCUAAUUUAUGUCGUUAAUGACCCAGAUGAGGAAAUAGUAUAUCGAGGUAUUUGAGGAAAUUACUCUUACACAUGUUAUGCACGACGACUUGUUUUUAAAUUACUACUUCUUUAGCACUGUGAAGCAUAUUAGUGAUUACUUGAAAGUUAUUGUUUCCAUUGGGCACCCCUUUGGGAUGAUGUGCUCACUCGUUCCCACAUUAGUUUUCAGUAAUCGGAAGAAAAAGUGCGCUCGAAGAUAACCGCUUCAUAGCUUAAAUAUUUUAUCGUAUUAGAGAUAUUGCGUGUCUUUUGUAUAUGUAUAUUUUUGGUAAUCUGUAAAACAACACAUUAUUAUAUUCAUAUCACUCGAAAGAUCUUCAUUUAUAUAAUAUCAGAGUGUAUGGGUUUUCCCUUGGGA
Molecule: long non-coding RNA, 1343 nt
Organism: Papaver somniferum (opium poppy)
Lineage: Eukaryota; Viridiplantae; Streptophyta; Magnoliopsida; Ranunculales; Papaveraceae
Exons: 2
Source: RefSeq, a predicted model, not a curated record